This is a long non-coding RNA of Prionailurus viverrinus (fishing cat), 601 nucleotides long. RefSeq lists it as uncharacterized. Lineage: Eukaryota; Metazoa; Chordata; Mammalia; Carnivora; Felidae. The transcript is spliced from 3 exons. The record is from RefSeq and is a predicted model, not a curated record.
AGUUUUAGUUGCCAUUCUUCCAGAAUGAAGAACUUUCUUCUGCUAAUUGGGGAUGAACUAGAGUUCCUCCUAAAAUGCCUCUCCAGCUCCCUUCAUCAAACCAAGCAGAGAAAACAGAGUUUAGAGCCUCUCCUGUCCACUCCCCCUAACUGGGAGUGUCCAGUGGAGGGACAUGGGCAGAGCUUUCUCGGGCAUAAGAAGAAUGAAAUGCAGCAAGACUGUCGAUGAAGGAAGCCACGCAAACUCCGUGUUUCAUCAAAGACCAGUACUUCGAGCAGCACUGCUCUGCUGGCUUACUUUGGGCUUUACCAGUGAUUUAACCUGGGUACACGAAACACCAGCAUGCUUAUCAGCCCACCUUGCUCGGGUCAGCUGAGAGUGACAGCACUGUGAACACAGUAGCCAUCAAACCUUAACCUGAGUAAUUUCCUGUCAUGACAUCUCCGCUUCUGGGAAGAACAGGUCGCAUUUUGUUCUAUUGAAAUGUGCAACUAAUAUCGUGGCCUACUUUGAAAAAGCCGAAGCCAAUGGACAACUCCAGGACCUGGUGAGCCGUUUAGCUCUCUGCAAACCAUAAGCAGCAAACAGGCUUAGGGGUGUC